Molecule: long non-coding RNA, 3366 nt
Organism: Homo sapiens (human)
Lineage: Eukaryota; Metazoa; Chordata; Mammalia; Primates; Hominidae
Gene: RRN3P3
Product: RRN3 pseudogene 3
Source: Ensembl
AGUGCCACCGCCGGGAGCCCCGGGUCUCGGCUUCAGCCCCGGGCUGAACAAGCAGGGAGGGGAGAGGCACUUAGGCCUCGCCUCCCCGCGGCCUUCCUCCCCCAGCCGGGGCGGAGGAGACCCAGGAAGCUGCGCCCGGCUCCCGGGGGUGGAGGGCCUAGGCCUCGGCCCGCCCGAGGCGGAGCCCGGGAGGUCGGGGCGGGGUCCCGGGCCGGUCACCCACCUGGGUUGCCAGUCAUUCCAGCUCCGCGAAUAGUUGGUGCCGUUGGUGCCGCCGCCGCCGCUCAGCCGAGACCCCGGGGCUCUGCGGCUCAUUACCUUCCCCGACACGACAUGGCCAAGCGCCGCCGCCCAGAGAAGCGCGAGUCGCCGCCCGAACCGGCCGCCGCCAACACCCCGCUCCGGCCCGGGGCUGAGGAGGAAGCCGAGAAGGAGGAGAAGGAGGAGGCGGCGGCGGGCGGGGGAAGAGGACGACCGUUCCGGGUUCCGCCUGAGCCCGCAGCACAGGACGAGGAGGCGGGAGCGGCGCGGUGAGAGAGAGGUGGAUGAAGGGGAGGCGACGUCUCUUCCAGGGCCGUGCGCGGCCCACGUCGCCGGGGCCGCGGAGGACGAGGACGACGAGGAGCAGGCGGUGGCGGCAGCUCCUCACGCUCACAAGGCCACUGCUAACCCGCCUCCCGGCUCCGCUGGCCGCGCCGCCGCUAUCGCACGGGAUUCGCAGAGGCAUUUUUGGAACAUCUUUGGAAAAAAUUGCAGGAUCCAAGUAAUCCUGCCAUCAUCAGGCAGGCUGCUGGAAAUUAUAUUGGAAGCUUUUUGGCAAGAGCUAAAUUUAUUCCUCUUAUUACUGUAAAACCAUGCCUAGAUCUUUUGGUUAACUGGCUGCACAUAUACCUUAAUAACCAGGAUUCGGGAACAAAGGCAUUCUGCAAUGUUGCUCUCCAUGGACCAUUUUACUCAGCCUGCCAAGCUGUGUUCUACACCUUUGUUUUUAGACACAAGCAGCUUUUGAGCGGAAACCUGAAAGAAGGUUUGCAGUAUCUUCAGAGUCUGAAUUUUGAGCGGAUAGUGAUGAGCCAGCUAAAUCCCCUGAAGAUUUGCCUGCCCUCAGUGGUUAACUUUUUUGCUGCAAUCACAAAUAAGUACCAGCUCGUCUUCUGCUACACCAUCAUCGAGAGGAACAAUCGCCAGAUGCUGCCAGUCAUUAGGAGUACCACUGGAGGAGACUCAGUGCAGACCUGCACAAACCCACUGGACACCUUCGUCCCCUUUGAUCCCUGUGUGCUGAAGAGGUGAGGUCUGUGCAGACCCUGGGUGAGGGGCGAGUUGGCUAUGGCCUGUUUAACUCCACCUGUGCAGACUGCAGCUCAGCCUCGUCCAUGCUUCGUGACUCAGCCUUGUCCUCAGGGAAGCUGGGGCUGGUGCAACUUUCAGAAGUGGUCCCAGUGCCGUUGGUGGUUGCCUGACGAAAAGCUGCACUUAAUAGAAAUCACUGUGGAUGCAGGAGAUGGACGGUGAUGAGCUCAGGACCAGCCAGCAACCCCAUCAGGCGGUAAUGCCUACCAUGGUCACCCAUGACUUCCUCUCGCCACUGCUCGGAGCUCCUGCAAAGCCACAGGCAACAACACAUUUCUGCUCCGUACGAGAAGCUCCUAUUGUAAGUCGGUGACAUGGCUGGGGUUUUCUCUCAGCAAAUAUUGAGCAAACACUGACUGUGCCAGGUGAUGUGCUGGGUCCCAAACCCUUCCCAGACCCAGCCCUGGCACUCACGGAGAUCCAGCUAGGAAGUCCGGGAAAAGGUCAUCGGGGAAAUAAACAAAGUCAAGCACAGUGGAUGAACGCGCUGCUGCCGCUCCCCACACCUCUUGUGGUGGACAUCACUUACGCUUCCUCAUGGUGCAUGUCACUUAUGCUUCCUGGUGCCCUCCCAGAUGACCCCCCCUUGGGCCACUACACACAGCUGCACCCGGCAAGAGCAGACAAGGAUGGUCUACUCACUGAGCCUGCAAGGCUGGUGUGCAGGACAGGCCAGCUACACUCCCCAGGUGUGUGCAAGACCGGGGACGAGUCAGUCAUUGGGAGGUGAGGUGCUCGGGCAGUGUGGGAUGGAGGAGGAGGGAGGGAAACUGAGUGUGGGCUCUUCGUAUUGGAGAGGAGGGGACGGCCAUGGCACAAAGACUCAGAUGGGAAAGUGUGAGAAAGCAGAGAUUUCAAAGGAGCUACGGUGGAGACCCACAGAAGAGGAAUGCUGAGGCUUUUCUGUCUGAAAUGCUGAAUAGACUCUAGCACACGCAAAACAGCCCACCACAGCGAGCUGCAGGAUUCUUCCGGGCUUUUAACAGUGGUCUUGUAAAAAAAAUUAGCCGGGCAUGGUUGUCCCAGCUACUCAGGAGGCAGAGAGGGGAGGAUGGCUUGCGCCCAGGAGGUUGAGGCUGCAGUGAGCCAUGAUCGCACCACUGCACUCCAGCCUGGGUGACAGAAUGAGACCCCUGACUCAAAAAAAAAAAAAAAAAAAAAAAAAAAAAAGACUGGAACAUUCAAAACCUGUUGAUGGGCUCAAGAAAUUCUCAAGAAAUUCUCUUGCCUCAGCCUCCUGAGUAGCUGGAACUACAGGUGUGCACCACCACAUGUGGCUAAUUUGUGUAUUUUUUGUAGAGACAGGGUCUUACCAUGUUGCCCAGUCUGGCCUUGAACUCCUGGACUCAAGGGAUCCAAUGACAGGCGAGAGCCACCAUGCCCAGCCACAUUUUUGCUAAAUUCUUUACACUGGUGAAUCUCAAAGAAUUCUCUGAUCAUCACACCAUAUCCUGCUAAGUGUGCAAUUAACCUGUGGACUUCAGUUGGACACUUUCAGAUUAGCAUUAGCUAUGUGGGGCCACCAAAUGCCAACUGUUAAAUUAUCACUCAAAGAUAAAUGACACUUGAGUGUGCUGUUUGAGUUUAUACCUCUAAAAAAUGCUUAUAGUACCAUGAGACUAGUGUGCCAACGUGUCUGGCUGCCAACGUGUCUAUAGCUGAGCCAAUAAGAAUUAGUCUCUAGAGCCUCUGUUUCCAAGGAAGUCAAUCUCUAGAUUCCCACAUUGGCUGCAUGAUGGAAUAAGCCAGGGGCUACGAAAAAUACUGAUGCCUGUUGAAGCUUGGAGGAGCUGGGGUUGGGGUGUAGGGCAGUGAUGAUCACAUAUGAAUAGAACUGGGAGUCUUUAGUGUUACUGGUGGCAAUGUUGAAAUGCAUGAGGGUUGUUUAUUGUAUAAUGAAGUAUUUUUCACAUGAAGUCAUAUGAAGUAUUCCAUUCCACUGUAUUUGUUCUUAUUUUAACGAUACAACUAGGUAAUAAAGGAAAUGAAGUAUUGUUUUAUAUUUUAAAAAAA